This 22535-nucleotide long non-coding RNA is filed under the name Ananas comosus (pineapple). RNAcentral describes it as "long non-coding RNA (ACOM_LNC019809)". Lineage: Eukaryota; Viridiplantae; Streptophyta; Magnoliopsida; Poales; Bromeliaceae. The record is from RNAcentral.
CCGUUUACUAUCGAGAGUAUUCUAGCUCAACUAUAUAUAUAUAUAUAUAUAUAUAUAUAUAUAUAUAUAUAUAUAUAUAUACACACACACAUAUAUGUAUACAUAUAUGUAUAUAUAGUUGAGCUAGAAUACUAUUGGCAGCAAAUGGGCUUCGUUGCCACCCAUUUGUUUUCGAUGAUGGAGUCUUCAAAUUGACGAUCGGUACCGUUGAACAUGAUCUAUAUUACUUGAAGUAUCUAGAAAUCAAAUUUCAAAUCUUUUCGACAUCAUUAACCUAAUGAUCAAAGGGUUUCAAAAUUUAUAAUUUUAAUGGUCGAUAUGAGACAUUUUCUCGUUUAACGGUGUAAAGCUAUCCAAAUCAAUUGAAUUUUGGUUAGAAAGUUCUUUAAACUAUUUAGAGCAUGAUCUAUACUCUCGAUCUUGAUUAUAAAAUUUCUAUUAUUACUUUUUAGAGGAUAUUCAUUUUCAGCUGUUCAUUUUUACACCUACUUGAUGAAUAAGAGAACAAUAUCGGAAAAGCAUGAAAUUUGAUUUUUAGAUACUUCAAGUGGUAUAGAUCAUUUUCAACGAUACCGAUCGUCGAUUUGGACGCUCCAUCAUCGAAAACAAAUAAGUGGCAACGGAGCUCGUUUGCUACUGAUUGUAUUCCAGCUCAACUCUCUCUCUCUCUCUCUCUCUCUCUCUCUCUCUCUCUCUCUCUAUAUGUAUAUAGUACUCCUCGUAAGCUCAAAAUCGUCGCAACGACGUGAAUGGAUCUGACGCUGGUUAACGAGUGAGGAGGACAAGGAGAUCAUGAUAUUACUACUUUCUAUAAUUAUUGUAAAACUUGCUUUAAUUUUGAUAUUCUGUUGUGAUACUCUCAAGUAUUAAUUGCUUUAUUAAGUAUUCUGUUGGUACUGAUGUUGAUAUUGUUAAUGCUGAAUUAAUUUGUAUGUUCGAUUGAAUUUGUUGUUGCUGUUCGAGAAAUAGUUCAUUAGUUAGCUACUCUGGAGUCAUUGGCUAACGCGAAUGUACUCCGAAGACCGACGUUUGUGCAUGAUGUAAUUUAGAACUUGAUUUGAUUGAUCUGGUUAUUGCGCCAGCAAAAAUUGUCAUAAGUGCACCUCGCCGGGUAUGUAUGAUAAUAUGUGGUGAGACACGGUGAAACGAGUCACGAGUUUCGAGUGUUACAACCUAUACAAAUAUCUAGAAUUAGCCAAAAAACGAGUCUAGAUCGCAGUAGUUUAUUGGACUCGGUGAUGAUCACCUAUUGUCUAGACGCACGUGAAUAGUUUCACCGUGCUGUAGAACGGGUGAAGGCACGCAUUCACCGUAACUCUCAAAAUCAUCACUUCUGUAAACCUAGUCUUCUUUAGCCAAAAAAGGAAGCAUAUAUCAAUCCGUAGGAAGUUCCAAUGUAAUUGGACAGGUGAAUGGUUCACAAAACCGGCGGGCCUUGUUCAACAUCUAUCGGUCGAACACGGAUCCAUAUCACACUUCGUCGCAAUAGCAAAUACGCAAUCUUACUUUCUUGAUCAGCCCAAAUAUAGGGCUAAUCACUAACAUUAGUGUAGUCAUUGGAUUCCUAGCCUAAUGAAAUGGUCGCGAUGCACCGUUGUCCAAAUAUAAACAUUUGGUCACUACCAAACUUGGAACUCCUCAGAGCGGUUGGGGGUGGGUAUAAUAGUCCAGGGUGAUAAUAGGACAAGAGGUCGGGGAGUCUCGCCGCUCUCCGGUGAGAGAUCCAUUCACGUGUCUGAACACUGGAUGAAUCACUCGUGUUCUCAAUCGUUUUUCCGACAACUAAAAACCUAAACGUCCCCCAGCUACCUGCACCGCGAGCAGAAUGUGCCGGCACUAUCGUGUGUCAUGUCGCUCGCAGCCAAUUCUUGCGUGAGCGCAAAUCAUUGAAAUUUGAUAGAAGGGCACGACCCUAUCAUUUAGCAAAAAUCAUUACACAUCUCUUCAUCACAUGGAGUGGCUGAUCAUAAUCAUAGCAAAACGUCACAGCCACCAUAAUAUAAUAUAGUGCUUCGAAGGUGAUAUAGUAUCAAUCUGAUAGUCUAUGCUUAUAAAGACUGUUGUUAUAUACAAAACUAUCACCUGACCAUAAUAUGAGUAAGAUUACCUUAGGAUCACCUAAUCCUAUCAUAUAUAUACUCAUGGAAAGUCUAUCACUAAGCAUAUUCUAUGCUGCUGAAGCAUAUGCGCUUGCCUUAAGUUAUCUGAAUAGUGCCUCCGAACUAUGAGUGCCAUGAGUACUACGUGCCCAUCGUUGCCGGUUGAAUGCUUCGAUUAAUAUUUAUUUAUAUGAAUUGGCAAAUCCGUCGUCGCCGAUAUAACGGACGAUCCCUCGUAGACUCCUCCAGCAUCGUUACAAUAUUGAUCUAAAUGUAAUGAGAUCAGAAACUUCUAGAAAAUAAAUUUCGUAAUUUUCGCAAUCAUAAAUAAAGUACAUCAAGCGGAGCCAUAAAUAGGACACGUCAAGAAUAUAUUAGAUGUCUUUAUACAAUUGGAUGAUCCCCGCACCUCCCCUUCUCCAACAUCUUGAAGAUUAUCGGAGGUUAUUAUGAUAGCCUUAACUGAGUAUUGAGACGAGAAUAUUUAUCUGGUCACAUUCUUCAAAAUUCGAAUAUCGAUUCUUUUGCACCGUUAACUAGCAGUUGUCCAUACCGCCGUUAAAAAUUGUCAAUUUGUGAGCUUUUGAUCAUAUACGUAAAUAGAUAUGAAAAAAUUAUGAGAAUUUGAUUUCAAUAUGAUGUUUAUAAAUCUCUAAGAUAACAGUUAAUGGUCGUGGAAUUGCCGAUCUGGAAGCUCUAUGCCAUCGAAAACACAACUUAUGAGUACGAGGCGACUCGUACUCAUUAAUAGUAUAAGUAGCCGGACUCUCUCUCAUCUCUCCUCGAGGGUUGUGUGUUUAUGUCUCCGCUAGGCGGAGAGCCGCGGGUGUUAGGUGCCCACAUCAUGUCUCUGAGAUGGAUCCGUUCUCCAUCUCUCCGUCCACAUCUCUAUUGGUCUCUCCUUCAUCCUCUCUUCUCUCGCUAACCCUUAUAUCCCGUUUUCUAUAUUAUAUAUAUAUAUAUACAAUAUAUAUGUGCUACUAUGCUUCUGGAAGAUAUCGGAGCUUCCUUCUUACCAGUCGUGUUUUGAUUGUCGUUGCGGCUUUCCAAUCGUCGAUCAGGCUCCGUUGAAACUUGAAUCUAGAGUAUUUUGAAGUACCUAGUAAAAUAAAUUUUGCAAUUUUUCGAUAGAUUUGCCAUAGUGGAACUAAAAGGGGUCAAAUCAACGGCUGAAAAUAAAAAAUCUUACAAAAACGUCGAUAUAUCAUUAAAUUUUGGAUCAAAAGAUAUUGAUUGUUAUAUAUAGUAAUAAAAGAAUUUUCUAUCAAAAUUUUACGUGAUUUGGAUAUUUUCUACACCGUUAACUUGCAAACGGCUCAUACGUCCAAUUUGAAAUUAUUCUGAUUUUGAGUCUUCGAUCACUAGAACAAAUGAUAUCAAAAAAUCUAACCCAUUUAUUUUCUAAAGUAUUUCAAAUACUCUAGAUCAGUUUAACGGAGCCGAUCACAUUCCGAAAGCCGCAACACGAAAAGACCUGGAAGCAACGGAAGGCUCACGUGCUUCUACGAGCAUAUAGCUCACCUCUAUAUAUAUAAUAUAUAUAAUAUAGAGAGAGAGCAGAAGAGAGAGAGAGAGAGAGAUAGGAGAGAGAGAAGAGGGAACCUAGUCUCCUACAAUAGUUUAGCUAAUUCCGCGAAUUAUUCGCUGAUUUUUUAAAAAACGAAUACACGGGGGUUUGCGUAUUUUGGAGAAAAAAUUAUUGCGUUGAAUUAUUCCGAAUUAAACGAAUUAAACGAAUUAAAUUGAAAAAAAUAGCGUGAAUUGUUUGGAGAAAAAUAAUUAUUCGUGAAUUAUUCGCAGAUGCCGGGCCCGCACCCAGCUCGUGCUUUCCGGCAGGGACCCGCACCAGCGCUGGCUUGCGCGUUGCUGCAUUGCCGUGCCGCCGUGCGCGGCUCGCUGCGUUGCUUGCCGCACGGGUCGCAGCCACAGCUCGCGGGCCUCGCGGGCCAUUGUGGCUCGCCCAAAAGAAAAAAAAAUUUAACUUUCCCAACCACAGCAAAAAAAAAAAAAAAAAUUUCUUUUCAAAAACACUGACGCAGCCCUCCUCCUUCCACUAUAAAAAAAUAAUAUCAGAUCUGAUCAAAAAAUUAAUCUCCUUAUGGACCUAUCUAAUUCUAUAUUUUGCUAAAAUUUAUUAAUUUUGAGGCAUAAUAAUAGUUUUGCCUAUUUUUUUUACUUAAUUAACUAAUUUAGUAGCUUCUUAUUCCUUAUAAUUUAUAGAAAUAUGAGUAUUUAUGCAAUAACAUAAAUCUUGAGAAAAAAAAAAAUAUUAAUGCAAAUUUUUAUAUCCAUUUUAUUUAUGGAACGUAUAUACGUAUAUAAAUCAGUAUCCGAAUAAUUGAACGAAUCCAUUUUUUAGCCGUAUUUUUCACAAUUUAAAAAUUUAGAAAACGAAUUUUAUUUUCGAAUUAUAGCUGUUACUUGAAUUUUUUGCCGAAAUCCCGAAUAAAAUAUAACUAAGCUUAUGGGUCUACUAUACUAUCUAUAGUCAGCUAAGGGGCUCCCAGUACUUAUGUCAUCAUAUUUCGACUAAGGGUGCAAUACAAGAUCCACACCGUUAAAAACCUGAUCUAGUGUAUUAAAGUUUUAGAAAUAAAAUUUUUAUUUUUUUUCGACAUAGUUACUUUAUGAUCAAAACCAUUUCAAAAUUGUCAAUUCAUGGCACUAUUGCAAGUUUAGAGUUUAUGGUUUAGAAAAUCUAAAUUUCUUUCAAAUUUGAUAGAAAAUAAUUUACAACUACUAGAUUAAGUUUAACAUUCUGAUCUGAAUUUAAAAGUCAUAUACUGAAAUUUUAAAGAUUAUUCCAAUUUCCCAAUGCCUCAUUUUGGGAACAUAAUUUAUUUACUGAGUAAAAUUGACUGUCGAAAAAAACUAAACAUUUUUAUUCCUAAAACUCCAUAUAACCCUAAGAUUAUAUUUAAGGUAUGGAUUGUUAAUUUGAACACCUAAGAUGAAAUAAUACUAUAGUAGCGAGCCUCUGAAUACUAUAGAAAGUAUAGUAGCCUAUAUAUAUUAAUAUUAUAUAUAUAAUAUAUAUAUAUUAUAAUAUAAUAUAAUAAGGUUGAGCUAGAAUACUCUCGAUAUAAAUUGGGGCAUUUUAACUAAUCGAGUUGUUUUCGAUGAUAGAGCUUCCAAAUGACGAUCGUCCCGUUGAACAUGGAUAUAACAUGUUAAGUGUUAGAAAUCAAAUUUCAAAUCUUUUCCGAACUCAUUUUGCCUAAUGAAUCAAAGGGGUUUCAAAAUUGUAAUUUAAUGGGUGGAUAAGAGACGUUUUCUCGUUUAACGGUGUAGAAGAUAUCCAAAUCAAUUGAAUUUUGUUUAGAAAAAUUCUUAAAAUAUAUUUAAAAAAGAUCUAUGUCUUGAUCUUGAUUUAAAGACUCUAUCAUCAUUUUUUAAAGAAUAUUCAUUUCAACCAUUCAUUUUUCUGUUCACUAGAUGAUAAAAGAACAAUUCGAAGUGCGUGAAAUUUGAUUUUCUGAGUAGUUUAAAUGGUUUAGAUCCAUGAUUACACGGAGCCGAUCGUCAAUUUGGAAGGCCUCUAUCAUUCGAAAAACAACUCGAUAGUAAAUGCUCCGUUUACUAUCGAGAGUUAUUUCUAGCUCAAACUUAUAUAAUAUUAGUAUAUAUAUAUAUAUAUAUAUAUAAAUAUAUAGGUAUAUAUAUAAACACACAACACAUAUAUUAUACAUUAUGUAAUAUAGUUGAGCUAGAAUAUCUAUUGGCAGCAAAAUGGCCUCGUUGCCACCUAUUUGGUUUCGAUAUGGAGUCUCAAUUGACGAUCCGUAACGUUGAAACAUGAUCUAUAUUAACUUGAAGUAAUCAGAAAUUCAAAUUCCAAUCUUUUUCGGACAAUCAUUAACAGCUAAUCACAAAGGUUUUCAAAAUUAUAUAAUUUUAAUGGUCCGAUAUGAGCAACUUUUCUUCCUUCGUUUAAACUGGUGUAAAGCUAUCCAAAUCAAUUGAAUUUGGUUGAAAUUCUAUUAACUCAUUUUAAGCAUGAUUAUACUCUCGAUCUUGAUUAUAAAAUCUAAUUAUUAACUUUUUAGAGAUAUUCAUUUUCAGCUGUUCAUUUUUCACCUUACUUGAUGAAUAAGAGAACAAUAGUCGGAAAGCAUUGAAAUUUGAUUUUUAGAUACUUCAAGUUUGGUAUAGAUCAUUUCCAACGAUACCAUCGGUCGAUUUUGGACGCUCCCAUCGAGAAAACAAUCACGUGGCAAACGGAGCGCCGUUUGCUACUGAUUGUAUUCCCAGCUCAAAACUCUCUCUCUCUCUCUUCGUUCUCCCUGCUUCUCAAUCUACUUCUCUCUCCAGCUAUUCCCCUUCUUCUAUAUAUAAUAUAUAUAUAUAAAUUAUAGCUAUAAUUUAAUAUAAUAUUAUCUACUAAGCAUAAUAGUAACAAACCCUUGUACUUAUGAGUUUUCGGCCGUUGAUGAAAGAAUGUGUCGGUUCGGAUUGAUAGUGGCUACCCCGUUAAAAUUGAAUAAUGGUCCCUAGGGUUGAGUCAGUGGUUUGGGUUUAUUUAUAUGUAGUAUAAUCUAAUGGGUUGAAAUGAUCAAAAGUAGAUCUAUACGUAGAAAACCAAUAUACAAGGCUGGUACUAUGAUAGUAUGAGUACCGGACUUCUCCUUUAAAUGAUAUAUAAUAUAUAUAUAUACUAAAGAGAGAGAGAGAGAGAGAAAGAGAGACGAGACGAGAGAAGAGAGAGGGGCUGGUAUGCUUCUGGAAGCACGGAGCCCUCCUGUUGCUUCCAAGUUUUUUUCGAUGAUUUCGGACUUUCGAAUUGACGAUCGGCUUCCGUUAGAGGUUGAUCUAGAGUUUGACAUACUAAAAAUAAUUAUGUGAUUUUCUUACGAUAUCAUUUACCAGUGAUUGAAGGCUCAAAAUCAAUAUAUUUAAUGCAAUGGUAGCCGUUUGGCCAUUUAACGGUGUAGAAAUAUCCAAAUUACAUGAAAUUUUGAUAAAAAAAAUUUUUAUACCAUAUAAAAACAAGAUCAUAACUUUGAUCUAAAAUUUUAAUGUCCAUAUCCAUAUAUUUGGUAAGAUUUUUAUUUUCAAAGCCGUUGAUUUUUGGCCGCUUCCGAUCACUAGCAAUGAAUAUCGAAAAAUCCAAAAAUUAUUUCUAGAUAGUCAAAUUACUCUAGACAAAAUCUAACGGAGUGAUCUCCGAUUCGAAAGUCCAAACAUCGAAAACAACUUUGAAAGCACGGAGCGCUCCGUGAUUCCAGAAUGCCAUACUAAACGAAAAACUCUAUAUAUUCAUGACAUAUAUAUAUAUAUAUAUAAUAUAUAUUAUAUACAUAUAUAAAGAGAGGAAAGAGAGAGAGAGAGAGAGAGAGAGAGAGAGAGAUAAAUCCUGUAACUUUUGAAGUACGGAGACACCGUGCUUGUAAGUUUUUUCAUGAUAGGAAAUCCGAUUCGACGAUCGAUCUUCGUUAAAUUAAUCUUAUCCUAUUGAACUAAUUUGAAACAAAUUUAUAAUUUUUUUGACAUUAUUAUCAAACGAUCAACAGGUCUCCAAAACAUGAAUAUUUUAAUGGCGAUGUGGCACGUUUAUAAGUCAACGUGUAGAAGUUCCAAUUCAGAUGAAAACAUUUAAUAGAAAUUCUACUUAACAUCAAUAGCAAGACAAAUUACUUACGAUUUGAAAUUUGAGUCCUUUUAUCACUGUUUUUAUGAAGAUUUUCAUUUUCAGUCGUGUCAUUUUGAGGCUACUCGUUUACUAGACAAACAAGCAAAAUUUAUGCCAAAUUUUGGUUUCUAGUAGUUCCAACAGCGUAUCAUUGUUAACGAAAUCACCAAUCGGAUGUCCAUUAUGAAAACAACUUACAAGUACGAAGCUCGCCCGUAUUUUCGAAAGUAUAGGAGGCCUACUUAUAUAUCACUAUAAUAAUAGAGAGAGAGAGAGAGAGAGAGAGAGAGAGAGUUUGCUAGAAUACUAUCGAUAGUAAACCUAAGCCGUUGCAUCCGAUUUUUUUUCGAUGAUAUAGCUUCAAAUUGAUGAUUCAGUCACCGUUAAACAUGAAAUCUAAACUAUAUUAACUACUGGAAAAUCAAUUCACGUGAACAUUUUUCGAUAUUAAAUUCUCUUAUCCAUCAAGUGGAACAGAAAAUAAAUGGCUGAAAAUGAAUAUCUUCAAAAAGUGAUGAAUACAUUUAUAUUUGAAGAUCUAGAGUCUAGAUUUAUUUUAAAUGUUUAAAGAAUUUUUAAUAAAUUUAGUAUUUGAACUCUUCUAUAAGUUAAACACAAACGCAACCAUAAUUCGGCCAUAUAACAUUAAGAUUUUGUGACCACUUUGAUCGUUCAUUAUGAUGCCAAAAAAUCAUUGGAAAUUUGAUUUUUAGAAAUUAAUUUAAAUGGUCUAGAUCAUGUUCAACGGUGCCGAUCGUUGAUUUUCAGAAGCUCUAUCAUCAAAAUAAAAUCGGUUAGAGCAGUUUACUACCGAUGAGCUCAGUCAAACUAUAUAUAUAUAUAUAUUAUAUAUAUAUAUAUUAUAUAUAUAUAUAUAAUUAUAUAUAAUAACUAUAUCAUAAAACAAGGCUGGAAUACUAUGCAAUAGACACCAAUCUAUUGAUCUAUAUUUUUUAACCACUUGGAUUGAAAAAUGUGUGGUAGGAUAGUGGGUCUCUAGAGAUAAGUGAGUGGUUGGUUGAUUGUAGUAAUAAUCUAACGGGUAAAAUAAUUAAAGCGUUAAAUCAACAUGGAAAACUCGAUAGGGACAAAUCCUUGGUGCUAUCGAUAGUAUCCCAACCGGACUAUAUAUAUAANNNNNNNNNNNNNNNNNNNNNNNNNUAUAGGGUAUUUAUUAUGCUUACUAUACUAUCAAUAGUACCAAACCCUUGCUACUAUUGAGUUUUUCGGCCGUGGCAUGAAAAAGGAUGUUGUGGUUCGGGAUUGAUAGUGCUCCGCCGGGUUAAAUUGACUAAUGGUCGCCCCUAGGGGAUUGAGUCAGUGCGUUGGUAUGAAUAGUUAAUCCUGAAUGGGUGGAAAUGAUCAAAGGGCUAGAUCUAACGGUACCGGAAAACUCAAUAGUAGGGCAAGGGCUUAGGGAUACGGUAUCGAUAGUGAUAGUAGGCGCUGACGACGUCUACGUAUCUGUGUAGUGUAUUAUAUUUUCAUAGUGUGUAGUGUGUGCUGAGUAAUAGUGAUGAUAUAUAUACAUAGAUGAUUCUAGAAGAUGGGAGGAGAUAGACGGUGGGAUCGAGGUGACGGGAGUGGAUGAGAGGGGCGGACCGGGACCGGUGUGGGGGGGAGGAUGGGGGAGGAGGACGGGAGAGAUCGAUGGAAGCAGUGGGCUGUUAUGCUUCUGCGAAUGCACGGAGCCCUCUGAUGCUGAUCCAAGGUUGUUUUUCGGAUGUAUUCGGACUUUCAAGAAUUGACGAUCGGUCCGUUAGAAGGUUGAUCUAGAGUAUUUGAGAGCUACCUAGAAAAUAAUUAUGUGAUUUUUCGAUAUCAGGUUGGGUACCAGUGAUUGAAGGCUCAAAAUCAAUAUUUUAAUGGCCAAGAUGGUUUGAGCCGUUUGCCAAGUUUAACGGGUGUAGAACAUAUCCAACAUUAACAUGAAAUUUUGAUAAAAAAUUUUUUAAUACAUAUAAAACAAGAUCAAUAACUUUGAUCUAAAAUUUUAAUGCCAUAUCUCAUAUUUUGUAAGAUUUUUAAUUCAGAGCCGUUGAUUUUUGAGCCAGCUUCGAUCCGUCCUUUUCUUUUUACGAACAAAACUGGUGGCCUUCCCCAAGGCGAAGGAUGCGUCGGGUCGACAUGAAUGCCUUUGGUCCAACAAUAUCACCUGCAGUUGCGCCCUCAGCUCCCUCAGCUCUGCCCGGUGCCUUUCCUUAUAGGGUGCCUUUGGGGAGGAUUGGUGGUAGUUCCCAGGGACGAGAAAUCUACACAAAACUCAAUCUCCCUAAUCAGGGAGGCAUACGCCGGUGGGCUCAGCUGGAAACACAUACUGAGACUCCCGGCCACCAUCGGAGUGAUCCCUCAAUCCUAGGGGUGUCAUCCUCUUCCCUCUCAGCACACACUAGCCAAGAGAAGCUACGCACCUCUGGUUAAAUCAGGCUGCCAUAGCUCGCAGACGAGGACGCUGAUCGUCAUCGCAAACAGCGAGCUUCCGGCAUCCACGAAAUACCACCUCUGGUCUGCCCAUGUUCUCUAAAAAGUAACCGCAUGCGAUUCUAUACAACUCAAUCGGUGCAUAAAUACUUGGUCAACCGGAAUCCGAAUGGCCCAAAACCACAUCAAAAUCCCCAAGCUUGCGCAAAAGCAGCAGAACUCUACAGCAUGAAUCAAUCCUACAGCAGAAGCAGGCCGACUGGGGCCUAAACUCUUCUAAUGUCCAAAGACUGAUCUCCUUUUAUAUAUAUAUAUAUAUAUAUAUAUAUAUAUAUAGAGAGAGAGAGAGAGAGAGAGAGAGAGAGAGAGUUGAACUAGAAUACUAUCGAUAGAAAACGGGCUCCGUUGCCACCCAUUUGUUUUCGAUGAUAGAGCCUCCAAAUCGAUGAUUGGCACCGUUGAACAUGAUCGAUACCACUUGAAGUGUUUAGAAAUCAAAUUUCAAAUCUUUUUGACAUCAUUUACCCAAUGAUCAAAGGGGUUUCAAAAUUAGUAAUUUUAAAGGUCGAUAUGAGGCGUUUUCUCGUUUAACGGCGUAAAGAUAUCCAAAUCAAUUGAAUUUUUGUUAGAAAAUUCUUUAAACUAUUUAAAACAAGAUCUAUACUCUUGAUCUUGACUACAAGACUCCUAUCAUCAUUUUUUAAAAGAAUAUUCAUUUUCAGUCGUUCAUUUUUGUAUCCACUCGAUGGAUAAGAAAACAAUAUCGAAAAAGUAUGAAAUUUAAUUUCUAGAUACUUCAAGUGAUAUAGAUCAUGUUCAACGGUGCGGAUCGUCGAUUUAGAGGCUCCAUCAUCGAAAAAAAUUGGUGGUAACGAAGCCCAUUUGCUAACGAUAGUAUUCCAGCUCAAAUCUCUCUCUUUCUCUCUCUCUCUCUCUCUCUCUCUCUCUAUAUAUAUAUAUAUAUAUACAUAUAUAUAUAUACAUAUAUAUACAUAUAUAUAUAUAGAGCUAGGCUCCUAUACUUUCGAAAGUACGGAAACCUCCGUACUUGUAAGUUGUUUUCAAUAAUGGAACAUCCGAUUCGGCGAUCGGUUCCGUUAGACAUGAUCUACUCUAUUAGAACUACCUAGAAACCAAAUUUCAUAAUUUUUUGACUUCGUUUGUGUAGUAAACGAGUAGCCUCAAAAUGAACGGCUGAAAAUAAAAAUCUCAUAAAAAACAGUGAUAAAGGACUCAAAUGUCAAAUCGGAAGUAUUGGCCUUGCUAUUGAUGGUAAGUAAAAUUUUCUAUUAAAUUUUCAUCUAAUUUGAAUACUUCUACACCGUUGAACUUAAAAACGUGCCACAUCGGCCGUUAAAAUAGUCAUUUUUGAGACAUUUUGAUCGCUUGGUAAAUGAUGUCAAAAAAUUAUAAAAUUUAGUUUCUAAAUAGUUCCAAUAGGAUCGAUUAUACUUAACGGAGCCGAUCGUCGAAUCGGAUUUCCUAUCAUCGAAAACAACUUACAAGCACGGAGGUCUCCGUACUUUCGAAAGUACAGGAGACUUACCCUAUAUAUAUAUAUAUAUAUAUAUAUAUAUAUAUAUAUAUAUAUGUAUAUAUAUAUAUAUAAAUAUAUAUAUAGAGAGAGAGAGGGAGAAAGAGAGAGAGAGAGAGAGCUAGGCUGGAAUACUAUCAAUAGCACCAAGCGUUUGGUGCUAUCAGGUUUUUGGCCCUUGGAUUAAGAAACGUACGGUUAGAAUGAUGUGGGCCCCCUAGGGUUGAGUGAGUUAUUGGUUUAAUAGUAUAAUCUAACGGGUGAAAAUAGUCAAAGGGUUAAAUCUAACGGUGGAAAACUUGAUAGCACCAAAUGCUUGGUGCUAUCAAUAGUAUCCUAGCCAGACACUAUAUAUAUAUAUAUAUAUAUAUAUAUAUAUGUAAGGCUACAAACCUUAUGGUAUCGUUUGGUUCGAGAAUAAGCAAAAAGUGGAUAUUCCGGGGAUAGGUGUAAAUUGAGGUAUAANAUAUAUAUAUAGAGAGAGAGAGAGAGAGAGAGAGAGAGAGAGAGAGAGAGUAAACCUCCUGUACUUUUGAAAGUACGGAGACCUCCGUGCUUGUAAGUUAUUUUCGAUGAUAGGAAAUCCGAUUCGACGAUCGACUCCGUUAAGUAUAAUCUAUCCUAUUGGAACUAUUUAGAAACCAAAUUUUAUAAUUUUUUGACAUUAUUUAUCAAACGAUCAAAAGGUCUCAAAAAUGACUAUUUUAAUGGCCGAUGUGGCACGUUUUUAAGUUCAACGGUGUAGAAGUAUCCAAAUUAGAUGAAAAAUUUAAUAGAAAAUUCUACUUAACAUCAAUAGCAAGACAAAUACUUCCGAUUUGAAAUUUGAGUCCUUUAUCACUGUUUUUUAUGAGAUUUUCAUUUUCAGUCGUUCAUUUUGAGGCUACUCGUUUACUAGACAAACAAAGUCAAAAAUUUAUGAAAUUUGGUUUCUAGGUAGUUCCAACAGCGUAGAUCAUGUCUAACGGAAUCGACGCCGAAUCGGAUGUCCCAUUAUUGAAAACAACUUACAAGUACGGAAGCUCCCGUAUUUUCGAAAGUAUAGGAGCCUAGCUCUAUAUAUAUAUAUAUAUAGAGAGAGAGAGAGAGAGAGAGAGAGAGAGAGUUUUGCUAGAAUACUAUCGAUAGUAAACCAAGCCGUUUGCUACCGAUUUGUUUUCGAUGAUAGAGCUUCCAAAUUGAUGAUCAGCACCGUUAAACAUGAUCUAAACUAUUUAACUAUCUGGAAAUCAAAUUUCACACAUUUUCGAUAUUAUUCUCUUGUCCAUCAAGUGAACAGAAAAAUAAAUGGCUGAAAAUGAAUAUCCUUCAAAAAGUGAUGAUACAAUUUUUAUAUUUGAGAUCUAGAGUCUAGAUCUUAUUUUAAAUAGUUUAAAGAAUUUUUUAAUAAAAUUUAGUUGAUUUGAACUCUUCUAUAACGUUAAACGAGCAAACGCACCAUAUCGGCCAUUAAAAUUAUAGAUUUUGUGACCCUUUGAUCGUUCAGUUAGUGAUGCCAAAAAAUCAUGAAAUUUGAUUUUUAGAUAAUUUAAAUGGUCUAGAUCAUGUUCAACGGUGCCGAUCGUUGAUUUAGAAGCUCUAUCAUCAAAAAUAAAUCGGUAGUAAACCGAGCAGUUUACUACCGAUAGAAGCCCAGUCAAACUAUAUAUAUAUAUAUAUAUAUAUAUAUAAAACAAGGNAAUUUGCUCGUUUGCAGAGAAUAGCCCGUAAUUUUAAUAUCUAAAACACUGGGAAACUAGCAAGCCAAUCACUACAGCUUUUCUAAUACUUUAAACUAAAAAUCUAUGAAAUUCACCAGAUCUAGUACAAGUUGCAACGGCUAGCAACUAAACCUUCGAGAUAGUAGUUUUUAUUUAGCCAUCAUUUGGCUCGAGCAAAUGAUGACUAUCAUAAGAUCAGUUUGAGAGAGAGAGAGAGAGAGAGAGAGAGAGAGAAAGAGAGAGAGAAAGAGAGAGGUCACCGACCCUUGUUCGAACAAGGGUGGACCCCCCCCCUUGACAACAAGGGUGGGGAAUGGCCCAAUAUGGUCCAUAUUGGGCUAUUCCCCACCCUUGUUGUCAAGGGUGGUUUAAAAAAAAAAAACAAACCCAUAUUUCUCCCCCUAUUGCGGAAUAGGGGUGAAAAUAUGGGCUAGGUUUGCCCUAGCCUCCCAAGUUUCGAUAAAGGUCUCCUACCCUUGUUGUAUGUUGUUUAUUUCCUAAACAAUCCUUUACAUUCUCACUGUUUAACCGGUAUAUGCCAGUUGACCUCUACCUGAUAUGUUAAAGAAGAAAUUACAUGCAAACUCCUAAUUGCUAGAGUGAUCCGAAAGUUGUUAGACCACCCGAUAGACCAACCUUCCUUUGUUGUAGUAAAAAAAAAUUUUUUUCAUGUUUGGAUAGAGUUCAAGAUCACCCGCAAGCUGUGAGAGAUCCCGUCAUUAGACUCGUAACGGUGAUUAAGAAGAAAAGAACUAUAAAAAGUACUUAAAAAGUAAAAUAAACUCAAAAAUAAAAAUAAAAACAAAAAAAAUAGAAAAUAAACAAAUCUGAGGUCGACGGAGAGAGAGGUAUGAUUUAAGUAAAGGGGUAACUUACUUCGUCGAUCGUACGAUAGAAAAAAGAGUUUUUUUUCUCUCCCCUUAACUGUAUAUAUCUAAACGUAACAAAUUAUGGGAUGCGAAGUAAAUAGGAGGUGUAUCCUCAUCUGCUAUAAUUCAUUUAUAACUUUUCUAGUGAUAUUAACAUUUACACCAUAACAACAAUGUUUAGUUCUCACACAGUCUACUAGCUCUACUAAACGAUCAUAAUAAGUUGUUCUACAUACUUCUUGGCAACUAGUAUUAAUGCUCGUCUAUUGUUUUGUUCGUUUGGAUUACGUUUACAUUUAUCGUUCGAUGGAAAUAUUCUUCCUAAACAAUCUCGAAGUGUAUACUCCAAGUGAUUUAGUAGAUCUACUUAGGUUCUCUUGGACAUUACGUUUUUGUACUCCUUAUUUGGAUUAACUCCUUUUUCUUUUCGUUGUUGUUAUCGAUACCAGCCUUUCCACAUCUGGGUGAUUAAACCCGACCGUACUGUAAAGUUACAUAUUUGGUAAAUAGUCCAUCAUUUUAUUAUCCUUUUUUUUUUAGAUCAGCGGACUACUAUAAGUUAGGAUCUCCUUUUCCCUUAACUUUUUUUAAAGUUUUAACCUAAAUAUCUUCUAAAGCAUCUUAAAUUCCUACUAAACAUAUCGUUACACUUAUAUUUAGGAUGACGUAGGCUGAUCUUCCAUUUGAUUUUGAUUGUUACGGUUGUUCGUGUAUUAAAUUCGUCUAAGCUAUCGAUAAUAAAGGUCUUUUAGGUAUAACUAAAAAGAGGAAGAGGGACCGUUUCGUUUCUUUAAGCCUUUUUUUCUCUUCUUUUAAUGUACAAUGUAAGUUCGAGUAUAAAAGAAAGAGUACACUUAAGAUGAGUAAGAUAUUUAGAAAGGAGUCGUUCGUUUUUAUUGAUCGGUUCGUUUGAACGUAAUUGGUUCAAGAUCUUAUUAUAUUGACGUUAUUGUCUUCUUGUGAUCAUACCUCUUCCUUGUGUACUGAAACGACCGGGCAUUUCGUUCACCUUUAAUAACCGUGAAAUAUUACACUUCAGUUAUUUAAGUGACAUCGAAUCGUCUCAUUUGUACACACCUCUUAGUUAACUAAUUUUGGAACGAGUUUAAUCCUGACUUACCAGUGUUUAAUAGUUUUAUAGACUGGGUUUAUCAAGUCUGAUUGUCCAACUAAUAACAAUUACGUUAUUUCUUAGACUAGAACAAUGUUAACCUUUAUGUCAAUAGACUUUUUUGAAUGGUAACGGAAGGUCUUGGAUCUCCUGGAGGUCGUUUGUAGUAUUUAUCCCCCUAGUAAAAUCGACGUCAUACAGUUCUAUUUUCCUUAUUCUUCAAUUCUUGUUCAGUCUUCUAUGAAUAGUUUACAAUUUACGUGUAGGACAUUAAAUUGUAUAUUACACUGUUACGAGUAAACUGAUGACACGAUAUCUUUACUCAGCUUUUAUUUCUUGUGAGUGUUGGUACUUCUUGUUUAGGAUCGAUACUAUGAAAUGUUAGAAUUAGUCGUAAUAAUGAAUUAUUUGGGUGUUUGUCGUAAAGUACCGUGGUAGUGUUGAUAUUGUGGUUAUGAUCCCGACGAAAAUGUUGAUACUGGAGAGUCUCAUAUACUAGAUAAAAACUAGCUGAAAGAGUUGAAACUAAACACGGGAUCAUUAUGGUUUAUGAACACUCUACCUCAAUAGUAGAAACGACAGAUUUGUACCUUAAUAGUCUUCAAUGGAAAGUCCGCACUAAUUAAGUUCACUUUUAUUUUAAUGUUGGCGACUUCCCCUUCUUCAAUGUAAAAACGUUCGUAUCUUAGAAAAACAUGUAUGAUCUGUAAACUCUAUAGUUUCUCUUAUAACUAUUUUGAUUCGGUUGGAUCUCGUGGUGGUAGGAACGGUUCUUGUUACGGUUAUGCUUAUUCGUGGUUAGAUUGUAAUAAUAGAUGAAGUGAUCGGGAACGAAGGGUAAGAGAUGUGUGGACUACGUAAUAUGUGUUUUUUAUCUUGUAUUCUUUUAAUGUUAUACUCUUUUACCAAAUCAUAAAACAGAUUGUUCAUCAUAUAACGUAGCACCUCGACUUCGUUUCAUUUUAGUUUAUAUAUAUGAAAGUCCAGUUAGUUCAUAUACUUACAAUCAGUCUCUAUACUAUUGAUUUUACUAGUAAAGUGAUCCAACAGUAUGAAAGUAAACGUUAUUGUACGUUGGACGAAUGUUCUAGUUUUGACGAUUCUAGUGGUGGUUACACAAUCCAGAUAUCUUCAUCAUACUGUGCAAGGAUAAUAAACUAGUUUGGACGUCUAUUACUUACAUACUUCCAAAACUUCGUUGAAUCUUUGUAAUAAACUCUUUGAAUAAUCCAACGUCCUGGUACCAAUUAGAUACCAUUUUAUAAACAACCGUAAGAGAUUGUUCUAUCAGUUAAAAACAGAUUUGUAAAGAUCAAGUAAGAAAAGACGGAUUGUAGUUUAGUGUGAGUAAGUGCACGUACAAGAGUCUUAACUAUGAUUUGUCUUUUGGAAGAUAGGAAGACAAAUCAAAAGUUUACUCAUAAUAUGUGGAAUGUUAACUUUACGUAAUACAGGAGUUCGUUACAAAGUUAUUACUGUUUUUUAAAGACCAAAUUAGACAAAACAGAUAAGAGUUUUGAUAUGAAUAAGACUUACGAUAAAGGAUCUUUACCCUGAGUCGUUUACUUAGAAUAACUUUAAAACGUUGAUCGAACUUCCAAAGGGAUGGUUGAUUGAUCGUGGUUAUAUAUAUAUAUAUAUAUAUAUAUAUAUAUAUAUUCUCUCUCUCUCUCUCUCUCUCUCUCUCUCUCUCUCUCUCUUCCCGAUGACACGAUAAUCCUCGUGUCGUUGGGAACACGAGGAUUGAAAGAUUGGUAGGUAGUUAAAACUACUCACCAAUUCCACUCUCUCUUCUCUUUAACUCCUCUUUAACCUAUAGAGUUAAAGAGAAGAGAAACUUAAAGAGAGGUUAAAGAGAAGAGAGAGAGUAGGAUUAGUGGGUAGUCUUAACUCCGACAACACGAGGAUUAUCGUGUUAUCGGGAUGAGAGAGAGAGAGAGAGAGAGAGAGAGAGAGAGAGAGAGAGAAAUAUAUAUAUAUAUAUAUAUAUAUAUAUCACGAUAAAGGAUAAAGGAUAUUUACCUUGAGUCGUUUACUUAGAAUACCUUUAAAACGUCGGUCGAACUUCCAAAGGACUGGUUGAUUGGUCAUGGUUCUAUUUGUAUUUAAUUAGUUACAGUAUCAAGCUACGGUAUUAAAAGAGUGUUCUGUACAAGUUUUAAGGUUAAAUUCACGUAUUAUUACAUACUACUACUAGGUAAUGGAGACUCUCUAUCAGUAAAGGACUACCUGAACAGAGUAGCUUUGAUACUCAAAGUGAGCAGGGACAAUAACAGUACUCUUUCUAUUAAUCUCUUCAUUGCAUAUACCAUUAUUUUUAACCUUAAGAAAGUGUACUCAUAUUUAUUCUGGUGUAAGUACUGGUACUUAUUGAUUUCCGCUUACGUUGGAUCAACUCGUACGCUUUCUAUUCUAACUGUUCGUAUUGGUCUAUCUGAUUUCCGUUUACGUUGGAUCAACUCAUCCGCUUUCUAUUCUAAUUGUUCGUAUUGAUCUAUUUUCUUACCAGGGGAUCACUUCUUACCAUAAGGUUACCAUUCCGUGAAACCUCCCCAUCCCCAGACUUAAAAACAGGUCCACCCCCUGAAACCUAUCCAACAUCCCCGUGUUCGAGAACUAGGAGUUUUUAUUUUUUUUCUUUUCCUUUGAAUUUUUUUUUAGUGCGAUAUCUAUUACACGGAGUAUUACAGUACAUUGUUUGGAACAGUCAAUGGUAUUUUAAUAAAACAGAAGUCCAGAAAUAUAACCAAACUUGAAUUUUCUAAAAGAUUUAAUUUUCUAACUUGAAAAGAGGAAACAAUUCCGAAGGGGUAGAAGUUAUCCUAAUACACAUCUCAACAGGGCGUCUAGAUGUUUGAUUUUAUGUUAUGAAUUCUUAAUUCUAUAGACAUGGUUAACCGGAAUUAUCUGAUCAAAGGACUUUCGUCAUAGUUAAUGAAGUGAUUGCAGAUCUGAGAUCUCACAACUACAUUCCGCUUUCAGUUCGUAUAAACGGAUAAGAAGCAGGUUAAGCGUUUUACCAUUUCCGAGCUAAGUACAGUUACAACGUCUGGGUUUCUAACGGAUAUUCCCAAUACGAUAUCGAGAGAUAAAGAUUUCAUUCCUUCUUGUUGGUGGUGGCUGUAGUACAUUACAUUAAGCAUGCUAAUUAGAGUUGCUUUUACUACACUUCUUAAGUCUAUCGUGAGUUGGUAUUGAAAAUACGAUCACUUGUUUCAUCGACUUUAGAUGUAUCACCAAAGAGUUAGUCCGUCACUAGAUGUCAGAAAGAUCAGUGUAUAAGCCUUCCCUUUAGAGUAGUCCUUUAGUAUAUUGUAGCGCAUGGUAUUUUUGGCUACCGACAACGUGACUGGUUUUGACUUCCGGCUUUUAGACCUAAUCACGCCAAAUAUGAAGGAUGUUAGAAAUGGUGUAAUUCAUUUAAGUUAAUUCACUUCUUACCUUUUCUUCGUACGAAACGUCGUAUUUGUUCUUAAUUAUAUUGUAUAUUAACAAUUGAAUAUUAGUACCAACCCUGCACUAUUCCCCAUGUUAAGUAACCACACAGUAACGGUAAGUCGCGGUAGUGACAGUUGCCGUACGUACGAAUGUCGACUAACCGUCCAGUGGUACGGUGGGGUUCAUUAGGAAGUAAAGUUCAUGUAUCGUUAAUGUUUUUUCUGAUUGAUUCUCUUUUAGUUCAUUUUUAGUGGAAGCUACAUUGUAACUAGGCCGAAAAGAAAUAAAGGAAGAAUUAGACGUUAAACUUAUGGUUUUGAGUCAUUGAGUAGAGUUUAAUUGAUAUAUGUUAAGUUUUCCUACGAGGACUUAUUUCGUUACUUAAGAACGCAAUCGGUUGUCUAAGUGACGUAAAGUUUUUAUAAUCUAUGCACUCUUUGUAUCUUAAUGCCUUCUUACGUUUCAAGAAUUUCAUUUGUUGGAGACUUCUGGUGGAGCACGAAUACCCGUAAGGUCGGUCCAAUUGUUGUGGUAAACUCGGAACUUACGUAAAAAGGGUGAGAAGAAGAAGUCGUUAAUCUUAAAGUCCUUUAAAGAGUCGACGUUAACGUGUUAAAAAAAAGUGUUCUCAUCUGUUUUCAAACAUCCGUUUACCUUUUGUCUGAUUAUUUCUUUGUUCGAUAUUGUACCUGGUCGAAGUUGAUUAAUUCUAAUUUCUUCAGAGAAGAAAACCUAUUAAUCUGUUACCUCGUCGCUCUGUUUUACCUUCUUCGUCGUCGUCGUCGUCGUCGUUUAAGUUUAUUGUCACAUUGUUCAUGAGACGUCAAUGACGUUCUCUCGUUACAAUGAUAAAAUCAGUAUGAUGUAACUCAUAAAAUCCUUAACUUUCCAACCGAGCACUGAUCAAAUACGGUCUUUAGAAAAAGUCAAGUUUUUCACUAGGAUUCUUCAUCGUAUGUUUAAUUUUAGAUCUCUAAUUUCUCCCUCAGUUGUCGACCACAAACUGUAGAUAAAUCUCAGGUUUAGGAAAUAAUGAAACCACCCGAGUAUCAAGGUGGUGAUCUUCCUUUUCUUUUGUCUUUAACUAUAAAGUUGAUCACGUUAAAACCCACAUUGAGUACCGUACUCAAUGAUCUUUAUAAGUAAUGGAAGAAUGGUCCUUUUUGAUUAGCACGGAAACGGGCUCUAGCACAAUUUUGUGCUUGAAAUACUAGUAGACGUAGUUACAAGUGUCUGUAUCGUAAUUAUGUCCCUUACAGCUCUACUACGGAGUCGUGAAUAUCUGAACUAUUAGUGAUUGUAUUUAAAUUAUACGUACUACUGUUCGAACGUGUAUUUCUACACACACGUAUACCGCGCGCGCGUGCUCUCUCUCUCUCUCUCUCUCUCUCUCUCUCUCUCAUUAUUGCUCCUGUGGUGUAAGUAAGUUUCCGAUUGUCUAUUUAAUUACAUACUCGUGGUCUAUUGAUGCUUCCAGAUUUUAAAGAAGUUAACCACCGAUUAGUUUGUUUGGACGAUCGUUGAAGACUUGGUUAGAAACUGGCUACUUCGGUCAUCGAGGUCAAUAACUGUGGUGGUAGACUGAAGGGAUUUAUUUGUACUUUCUUAAUGCUUGACUCUCUUUAUCAGUAGAGUGAUUUUAGUGUGUUUAAAUCGUAGAAAAAGUUUUCCUUUGUUAAUCUUUCCUAUUUUUGAUCUUCUCGGAUUCGUAACAGUUGACGAAUAAUAAAUCAUUUUACUCAAUCAUAUAGUGUAAAAAGAUGUAAAGUUGUAUAUAGAUCAAUCGUCGAAUUUAUUGUUGUUUUCUAUAGAAGAUGACACGAUUUUAAUAGUUAUAGUCAUCAUAUUCUUAAGAUAAGUUAAAUAUACUAAGGUGAGAUAGUUUAUGUUGUUUGAAAGUAUACGUUUGAACGAAGAAUAAGGUUUUAAAACCUUGAUAACACUGCGGAACCUCCCUUUAGUUUAGUACAUACUCUUAUAGUUCUGGUCGUCGUACUCUUUAUUAUUGACCUAAAAUUAGUAAAAUCCGGUCACCAAACCCGAGAUGUUUAUUAAUCACGAUCGUACGACCCAGCAAUGUAACGCAUGGUCUCAGUCACAACGGUCGGCCUUCACAGUCUAUCCAGAGUGUGGUUACCAAUCAAAACCAAGAAAACCCGGUUACCGAGCCCCUGUACUCAAUAAUCACAAUAAUCACGAUGGCCCAACCCAGCAAUGUUGAUGACUCUGUUACCGCUUCGCGAUGGAUUUGAGAACCAGUUAAGUUACCGAGAUAAUAGUUGAUCACGAACUUAACGAGGACAAAGUAACCAAUUUUCCUUAGUGGACACUACCAAAUCACCUUAACCUCGUGUGGUGAGAGGUAGAGAAUGGUAGAGCGGGGACGUUUGUUGGUUUCUAGAGAAGGUAGUGUUUGUAAAUGGUUCGUUCCAUGUUGUGGGUGUUGGGGGGUAAGUGGGUGUGGGUGCGUGUGUUGGGGUGUAAGUGUGUGGGUGUGGGUGUGGGUAUCUCUCUCUCUCUCUCUCUCUCUCUCUCCUCGCAUGCCUCUCCCUCCCCAACCCCUCCGCGUAAAAAUAUCCAAAUCAAUUGAAUUUUUGUUAGAAAAUUUUUUAAACUAUUUAAAACAAGAUCUAUACUCUUGAUCUUGAUUAUAAAACUCCUAUCAUCAUUUUUUAAAGAAUAUUCAUUUUUAGCCAUUCAUUUUUCUGUUCAUUAGAUGGAUAAAAGAACAAUAUCAAAAGUGCGUGAAAUUUAAUUUCUAGGUAGUUUAAAUGGUUUUAACGGAGCCGAUCGUCAAUUUGGAAGCUCUAUCAUCGAAAACAAAUAGAUAGUAAAAUGGCUCGUUUACUACUGAUAGUAUUCUAGCUCAAUUCUCUCUCUCUCUCUCUCUCUCUCUCUCUCUCUCUCUCUCUCUAUAUAUAUAUAUAUAAAAUUAGGGUACCAUACUAUCUAUAGUACCGAAACUCCGGUACUAUAGUCUUGUUUUCAAUCUUAAGGUGUUUAGAUUAACGAUCCACACCGUUAAAUAUGAUUUAGGGUAUAUGAAGUUUUUACGAAUAAAAUUUUAGUUUUUUUCGGCAUUGUUUACUUAGUAAAUAAAUUAUAUUAAAAUGGACAGUGAAAUUGAAUAAUCUUUAAAAUUUGAGCAUUGGACUUUUAAAUUCAAGAUCAAGAAUGUUAACCUUAAUCUAGAUAUUUUAAAAUAUUUUCUAUCAAAAUUUGAAAAAAUUUAGAUUCUUCUACACUGUUAAACUCCAAAAGUUGCCAUAGUAGUGAUUAAAAAUUGACAAUUUUGAAAUGGUUUGAUCAUAAAGUAAAUUAUGUCGAAAAAAUAUAAAAUUUUAUUUCUAAAAACUUUAAAUAUCCUAAAUCAGUUCUAACGAUAUGGAUCGUUGAUUUGAACACCCUAAGAUCGAGAACGAGACUAUAGUACCGAAGCACCAGUACUAAAAAUAAUAUAGGAGAUUAGCCCUAUAUAUAUAUAGAAUUAUGCUAAUAUAUUAUCAAUAGUACCAAGCCCUUGGUACUAUUGAGUUUUCGACCGUUGGAUGAAAGAAUAUGCGGUUAGGAUGAUAGUGGUCCCCGGUUAAAUUGAUAGUGGUCCCCUAGGGUUGAGUAGAUGGUUAGUUUAAUAGUAUAAUCUAACGGAUGGAAAUGAUCAAAGGGUAGAUCUAACGGUAGAAAACUCAAUAGUACCAAGAGCUUAAUACUAUCGAUAGUAUAGUAACCGGACU